GCCGGGCGCGGUGGCUCACGCCUGUAAUCCCAGCACUUUGGGAGGCCGAGGUGGGCGGAUCACCUGAGGUCAGGAGUUCAAGACCAGCCUGACCAACAUGGAGAAACCCCAUCUCUA
Molecule: non-coding RNA, 117 nt
Filed under: Gorilla gorilla gorilla (western lowland gorilla)
Lineage: Eukaryota; Metazoa; Chordata; Mammalia; Primates; Hominidae
Source: Rfam by way of RNAcentral